UGGGGAAUUUUGGACAAUGGGCGAAAGCCUGAUCCAGCAAUGCCGCGUGUGUGAAGAAGGCCUUCGGGUUGUAAAGCACUUUUGUCCGGAAAGAAAUCCUUGGCUCUAAUACAGUCGGGGGAUGACGGUACCGGAAGAAUAAGCACCGGCUAACUACGUGCCAGCAGCCGCGGUAAUACGUAGGGUGCAAGCGUUAAUCGGAAUUACUGGGCGUAAAGCGUGCGCAGGCGGUUUGCUAAGACCGAUGUGAAAUCCCCGGGCUCAACCUGGGAACUGCAUUGGUGACUGGCAGGCUAGAGUAUGGCAGAGGGGGGUAGAAUUCCACGUGUAGCAGUGAAAUGCGUAGAGAUGUGGAGGAAUACCGAUGGCGAAGGCAGCCCCCUGGGCCAAUACUGACGCUCAUGCACGAAAGCGUGGGGAGCAAACAGGAUUAGAUACCCUGGUAGUCCACGCCCUAAACGAUGUCAACUAGUUGUUGGGGAUUCAUUCCUUAGUAACGUAGCUAACGCGUGAAGUUGACCGCCUGGGGAGUACGGUCGCAAGAUUAAAACUCAAAGGAAUUGACGGGGUCAUAGCUG
RNAcentral lists this ribosomal RNA (578 nucleotides) under uncultured bacterium. RNAcentral's name for it is "partial 16S ribosomal RNA". It matches the Rfam family "Bacterial small subunit ribosomal RNA", at positions 355 to 932 of the family's 1533-position model. The record is from RNAcentral.